RNAcentral lists this ribosomal RNA (484 nucleotides) under uncultured bacterium. RNAcentral describes it as "partial 16S ribosomal RNA". It matches the Rfam family "Bacterial small subunit ribosomal RNA", at positions 29 to 507 of the family's 1533-position model. The record is from RNAcentral.
AUUGAACGCUGGCGGCAUGCUUUACACAUGCAAGUCGAACGGCAGCGCGGGCUUCGGCCUGGCGGCGAGUGGCGAACGGGUGAGUAAUACAUCGGAACGUGCCCAGGAGUGGGGGAUAGCUCGGCGAAAGCCGGAUUAAUACCGCAUACGACCUGAGGGUGAAAGCGGGGGAUCUUCGGACCUCGCGCUAUUGGAGCGGCCGAUGGCAGAUUAGCUAGUUGGUGGGGUAAAGGCCUACCAAGGCGACGAUCUGUAGCUGGUCUGAGAGGACGACCAGCCACACUGGGACUGAGACACGGCCCAGACUCCUACGGGAGGCAGCAGUGGGGAAUUUUGGACAAUGGGCGAAAGCCUGAUCCAGCAAUGCCGCGUGUGUGAUGAAGGCCUUCGGGUUGUAAAGCACUUUUGGCGGGAACGAAAAGGACUGUGCCAAUACCACGGUUCGAUGACGGUACCCGAAGAAUAAGCACCGGCUAACUACGUG